GGACCUGGUGGCUCUGGGACUUGAGCUCUCUGACGGGCUACACAAAGUCAUCCAUCUCUGACUAGUCUGGUUGCUACCCAUUGCUAGCAUGGCAAAGCUGAAACGAGCCACCUGACGUCACAGAGGGAAGUACAAGAACCCCCAAAUGGCAACCGUUCUAUGGAAAUCGUCUCCUAUCAACAGUGAUGGCUUUGACACACUUCCCCCUUUUAGUCUCUUCCAAGUAAAUCGGGCAUAAGACUUGUACUGCCAGACACGCCUCAAGGGCCAGUCGAAUGUCCUCCACCGAAGACACGUAGUCUGCGAGGCCGUCGUCUGUAGGCGGUCUGUGGCUCUGCCUCUCCAGACCCCUGGGAGCAGGGACCCUACUCUGAGGGUUGCUUUCAUCCUGUGACGUGCUGGGAAUGAUGCUAAUCAGGGGUAGCAUCUCCCUUCCUUUGCUUUGGAGCUUAGAUCAAGAUCUGACAGGAAGAGUCACAGAUCCACUCAGAAGGAGGUAGGAGGAGACAAGCAGGAUAUAACUUCCCGGGCUGGGUUACAGUCGUUUUACAAAAUAUACGACUGCAGAACCAACGGAUAUGACUGCCUGUGGAUUGUGUUGCCUUUGAUAACUGUAUGCAAUACAGAUCUGCUCUGUGUAACAAGGUAUCCUUGAAAACCAGCAGCCCAGCCGCCACUGAGGGCACAGACUGGGUUUAAUGCUCCUGAAAAAGUCUUAUCUACACCACA
Long non-coding RNA from Suricata suricatta (meerkat), 729 nucleotides. RefSeq lists it as uncharacterized. NCBI's taxonomy places the organism in Eukaryota, Metazoa, Chordata, Mammalia, Carnivora, Herpestidae. The record is from RefSeq and is a predicted model, not a curated record. The transcript has 3 exons.